UCCCUCGUGGCUCAGAUGGUAGAGAAUCUGCCUGUAAUGCAGGAGACCCAGGUUUGAUCCCUGGGUUGGGAA
Molecule: transfer RNA, 72 nt
Filed under: Ovis aries (sheep)
Lineage: Eukaryota; Metazoa; Chordata; Mammalia; Artiodactyla; Bovidae
Rfam family: tRNA
About the family: Transfer RNA (tRNA) molecules are approximately 80 nucleotides in length.
Source: Rfam by way of RNAcentral